Long non-coding RNA from Gavialis gangeticus (Gharial), 2143 nucleotides. RefSeq lists it as uncharacterized. The record is from RefSeq and is a predicted model, not a curated record. The transcript is spliced from 4 exons. NCBI's taxonomy places the organism in Eukaryota, Metazoa, Chordata, Crocodylia, Gavialidae.
GGCUUAGAGGAUCCACUGGUGGUUGGCAGAAAACUGAAAAAUAUAAUGCUGUAACAUGGUUUACCUGCAAUCUCAUUUGGUAAUCGCAGGGUGGCCUUGUGUUCGUGCGUCUAAGUGAUCCCUGAUUGCCUGGGAAAGCACUUAUUAUUUUAUACUAAUGUUACUGCACGGUGACCUGUACAUUAAGCAUUCAACAUCUUCACUCCAAGUCACACAUGGAUUUUAGCAUGGUGCCUCCUUGUCAGGAUGGCUUUCUGCUGGCCUUCGCAGGAAACUGCCUUCAACAGUGAUGGUGACAGACAAUGUCUUAACUAGAAGGACAAGUUAGCAAUUUGGCUGAAUGCAAAGUUCUUGUGGAUUUAUAGCAUUGACUUGACUGUGGGUUGUACAGUUGCUGAACUCCCAGCAGUGACAUUUUGCUUGUCGUUGUCUGGGUGUGAAGAAGCAAUGUUUUAUGAUUUUCCAUGAAUUGUCCCAAAGCAUAUAGCAGCAUGGUAGUGUGGGUCUCCUUCUAGUAAGCAAGUAUUAUAAAAUGCAUUGACGGAAGAAAAGUGAAGAACUACAGAUCACAAAGGUAAGCCAAGUGCUCAGUGCCCAAAGCUGAGAGCAAAUAGAAUUGGGAAAUGCAUCACUUGGAUACAUGAUCCAUGCAGAAUGUGUUGUGGACCUAGCUUUCUUACAGCUGCAUUCAUACCCUUCCUAUCCACUAUCUGAUGGACCACUAAAAACAGAGCCAUGCAGGCACCCCAGGUAUGGUGCUGAUGAGUGUUUUCCUUUGCUUGCAUUUGUACCAUACUUUACAGCUUGUCAGUUGGACAGUGGUAUUAUUCAUGUAUUCUUCCUUUUUCCAACAGUAAGUUUAAGAGGGAAAUCAGUGCCAUUAUAUCAAAUGAGCUCACCAGCCAGAACACAAAUGUGUGUGGCUACAGUAUGUAUCAUACAUCUUCAGUGUCUGCAUUUCUCAAGGCCACUCCAGAGACAAUGCCCCAGAAAGCAUGAAUGGGACGAGAGAAUCUAAGGAAUACUUUGAACCAAGUCCUGUCAACAGUUAAUCCUAUAUGCAUGAAAAUUCAGCAGUCAGUGUUUUCCAAGAAGACAACUCAUCACAUACUGUGGCUUCUGCAUUCAUGGCUGCCCCAGGGCUAAAUACAUUGUGAUCCCCAGCCAAGUCCGCAUUUGAACUCAAUCAAGCUGGCGUAGCAUCAUAUGAAGAAUGCCUUUUGGAUGCAUGGAAAAAUGAAAAGCUUGUGUAAAACUGUAAAGCAUCACCAGGCCAGCCUUCUGAAUUUGGAGCACUAUAUUUGUCUUUGGGUGACCAUCCUGAAGGGAUGCUGCUUGUAGUCAUAGCAGAACAGGGUUCAAGCACAGGCAUAUAAUGAAGAGUACUUAAUAAACAAGUCUAAAAAGCAGUCUGUGCAUGUUUGCAUUUAUUUGGGAUCAUUUUAAUUGGACACUGAGAAUAAAAGUAAUAGGAUAGGACUUGCUAGGUGCUAUAAACGAGGUGGGGGGACAGCACAGGGGAGGAUGCGCGCUCCCCUUCUCUCCUCCCAGAUUUCUGUGCCAAUGGUGGGAUGCGGGGCUGCAGCCCGGCCAAACCCAGCGCCUGGCAGCAGUGAGUGUGGCAGAGUUGUGUCCCCUAAGUAUCAGCAGUUACGCGUCGUCUAUACUAGGUGCAGUACUGCUUUUCCACGAACUAACCUUCAGUACUGCAUAGCCUGAUUUUUCAACUCUGUCACGGACCAUAGGUGACAGAGUGCAGUAAAAGUUUGCAGUAAAAAAUGGAUAGGGACUUUCUCUUCCUUUGACAAGCCCUGCUGCUUGAAUAUGUGCUGAAUAUCUUCCUAGAUCACAGGCAUGGCCAGGAAUUUGCAAAGGCCUCAGUAGCAGCAUGGCAACUAGAGUGAAUUCUAAAUAAGUGAUAUCAGGCAAGCCCCGUUGAUCAGACACUCCUGCACUCGCCGCAGCAUGAACAUCCCUGUGUUGUGACAUGAUGCUCAGAGAUCUCCGAGCUGGGGUUAGAGGGGGCUGCGUACCGACGGAAGCAUCACGCUGCACUUCAGGCUACUGUGACAGAUUAACUAUUUAACAAGUUUUAAUGUGGCGCAUUGAGUGGCUCGACCUCUCAGCAGGCAAAUAAAGCAGA